Molecule: ribosomal RNA, 465 nt
Filed under: uncultured bacterium
Lineage: Bacteria
Description: bacterial SSU rRNA
Rfam family: Bacterial small subunit ribosomal RNA
Source: RNAcentral
CCUACGGGUCGCAGCAGUGGGGAAUAUUGCACAAUGGGCGCAAGCCUGAUGCAGCAAUGCCGCGUGUGUGAAGAAGGCCUUCGGGUUGUAAAGCACUUUUAUCAGGAACGAAAUACCACGGGUUAAUACCCUAUGGGGCUGACGGUACCUGAGGAAUAAGCACCGGCUAACUUCGUGCCAGCAGCCGCGGUAAUACGAAGGGUGCAAGCGUUAAUCGGAAUUACUGGGCGUAAAGCGUGCGUAGGCGGUUUGUUAAGUCUGCUGUGAAAGCCCUGGGCUCAACCUGGGAAUGGCAGUGGAAACUGGCGAGCUAGAGUGUGGUAGAGGAUGGUGGAAUUCCCGGUGUAGCGGUGAAAUGCGUAGAGAUCGGGAGGAACAUCAGUGGCGAAGGCGGCCAUGUGGAUCGACAUUGACGCUGAGGCACGAAAUCGUGGGGAGCAAACAGGAUUAGAUACCCGGGUAGUC